RNAcentral lists this ribosomal RNA (763 nucleotides) under Candidatus Phytoplasma prunorum. RNAcentral's name for it is "bacterial SSU rRNA". It matches the Rfam family "Bacterial small subunit ribosomal RNA", at positions 430 to 1202 of the family's 1533-position model. Lineage: Bacteria; Bacillati; Mycoplasmatota; Mollicutes; Acholeplasmatales; Acholeplasmataceae. The record is from RNAcentral.
GUUCUUUUAUUAAAGAAGAAAAAAUGAUGGAAAAAUCAUUCUGACGGUAUUUAAUGAAUAAGCCCCUGGCUAACUAUGUGCCAGCAGCUGCGGUAAUACAUGGGGGGCAAGCGUUAUCCGGAUUUAUUGGGCGUAAAGGGUGCAGUAGGCAGGUUAAAUAAGUCUAUGGUAUAAGUUCAACGCUUAACGUUGUGAUGCUAUAGAAACUGUUUGACUAGAGUUGGAUAGAGGCAAGUGGAAUUCCAUGUGUAGCGGUAAAAUGCGUAAAUAUAUGGAGGAACACCAGUAGCGAAGGCGGCUUGCUGGGUCUUAACUGACGCUGAGGCACGAAAGCGUGGGGAGCAAACAGGAUUAGAUACCCUGGUAGUCCACGCCGUAAACGAUGAGUACUAAGUGUUGGGUUAAACCAGUGCUGAAGUUAACACAUUAAGUACUCCGCCUGAGUAGUACGUACGCAAGUAUGAAACUUAAAGGAAUUGACGGGACUCCGCACAAGCGGUGGAUCAUGUUGUUUAAUUCGAAGAUACACGAAAAACCUUACCAGGUCUUGACAUACUCUGCAAAGCUAUAGAAAUAUAGUGGAGGUUAUCAGGGAUACAGGUGGUGCAUGGUUGUCGUCAGCUCGUGUCGUGAGAUGUUGGGUUAAGUCCCGCAACGAGCGCAACCCUUAUCACUAGUUACCAUCAUUUAGUUGGGCACUUUAGUGAGACUGCCAAUGAUAAAUUGGAGGAAGGUGGGGAUUACGUCAAAUCAUCAUGCCCCU